Ictidomys tridecemlineatus (thirteen-lined ground squirrel) is the source of this 2724-nucleotide non-coding RNA. The record is from RefSeq and is a predicted model, not a curated record. NCBI's taxonomy places the organism in Eukaryota, Metazoa, Chordata, Mammalia, Rodentia, Sciuridae.
AAAAAUCAGCAGCACCGUAUGGAUUACCAUCUGGCCCUGACCAGGAGGCCUCAGAAGAAGCCCAGGGGGCCGGAGCAGCCGGCUGAGCCCUCAGGGGCAGAUCCUCUUCCAGCCUGAGGCCCUGGCUUGCUUGGAAACGGAUCUCUUGAUUUCCUCUCUUCCUUUCUACUUCCUGAGGCUGUUGACCAUGACAACACAGGUGCUCAUGUUUAGCAAACGUGCCCCAAAGUGCCCCUGGCCCCCAGCCCUGCAGCCCCAGAGCCCUGUGGUCCAGGUGGGAAGCGGUGGGGUGGCCCGGCAUGUAAGGUGUGGCCACGGGAGAGACUACUUGGGUCCUUUUCUCUUUCACCUGACACGCUCCUCCCGAGGAACCUGUCAUACCUCCAUGGCUGCUCGUUCUCUCAGCAGACAUUAAUUGCCACACUCGUGUGUACUGAGCAGUGUUUAAGCCCCACUGCACGCCGACUCUGGGGUAGACGGCCUAGUUCGAAUCCUGGCUCCAUUACUGACCAGCUGUGUGACCUGGGGCAAGUUCCUUCCACUCUCUGUGCCUCAGUUUCUCCAAUGACCUGAGGGUGAUCACAGAAAUAUCUUAUUCGUGAAGAUUCAAUGCCAUCAUGUUGGAAAUCAUUUAGUGGAGGGUCUGGCACUCGGUAAGCGGGAUAUAGGUGUUUGUUGGGUGAAAGUAGCCCACUGUGGGUGCUGAGAAGACAAGGAUGUCCUUGGCCUCCUGGAACCUUUCUGCGGAGCCAAGAGAUGAGCAACAAGCAGGAACGAAUAAAUGAUGUCACUGCACUGUCACAAGGAACGUUAAACUGGUGACAGCGUAGAGGUGGUAAGAGCAAUGAAGACACCCGACUGUAGGAUCACCCGCUUCUUCACAGUAUCCAAUCCAGGGCCAAGUCUGGCCUCCUGGAGUCUUCUCUCAAGACUCAUGACCAAACCCAAAUCCUCAAUAAGCACUGGGAUGCCCUCGGGUUCCCCAAGUUAUUGCUGUUGUUGCCUCAAACCAAUAACUUGGUUUCACCACCAGGAUGGCCCUGGUGGUCUUUGAAGGGCAAAAACUGACUCUGUGGAUAGGCGGUCUCUGCAGUCAUGGGACCCCCGGACUUAGAAAACCGUGCCCUUUAAACCCCUGCUACCAUAUUGAAAUUUUGAAUUGCUUUUGGAUAAGAAGCUCCCUAUGUUCCUGCUUUAGUAGGUCCCACAAAUUUCAUAGCCUGUUCUGCUGAAGGGCAUGGAUAGCAGCUAAUGCCACAGUCACUGCGGUCAAUGGGAGAAGUGGUGUAUUCAGGACCCUUUGGCCAGAUCUGCAGGAGGGGCUGGUACUUUGGAUCUCUGUGGGAGAAUUCUGGGAAGGGGGAGAUGACUUUUGAAAUCGAAUCAGGAGUGCUCUUCAUCCAGAUGGGACGCACUGGGGGAGGUGUCAAGUACAUCCACUUUGGAGUGGGUGGACAGGAGCCCAGAGUCCCCGUCUGGUGCAAAGAUACUUCUUCUCAAACAUGAUGAAGUGGGGAUGGGAUGUCACAGUAACAAAAUCGGUGACCUGAUAUGGCACUACGGUUUUGCAACCUGUCACUGUGAGCGGGGCCGCCAGGCCCAGGGCUCGUGAGAGCUCUAGGAGUUAUUUCUUACAACUGGAUGUGAAUCUACAAUCAUCUCAAAAUGAAAAGUUUAAUUAAAAAAAAUUGGUGACCCAGAAAAUCAGGAUGUGAAUGGGACUUCGGCAGCUCGGGGCAGGUGUUACUGAUUUGUUAUUCAUCAGUUCUCAAAUCUGCAAGGAGUUUGGGGGCAAUUCCUGCAAGCGAUGCAGCCCAAGGUAGGGGCUGUGUGUGAUGUCAGAGGGGACAGGGGGCAGCAUCGGUGGCACCUGAGUGUCCUUUCUUGCGGUAUCUCAUUGAGGGAACAGGGAGCAGCACAGGACUCUGUGAGGGGGUGGACUUGGCUCUGGAAAGUUCUCUGCGGAAAGCAGAUACCGUUCUUCUCAGCAGUGGGGUGGACGCAGAGGUGUACUGGGCCUCCAAACUCUGAACAGGAGAGGUUGUAUUGGCCUCCACUUUCUUGCUUUCCAUGAGCCAGAGUCAGGCUGGGGAGGAGAGCGGGGCGCCAUCUCAUCUUGAUAUUUGCAGAUUUAUUCAUGGAAAUCCCCACACAUCUGGAUGAGAAUAUAUUCCUUGCCCCUGGAGGAAAUAGUUAAAUGAAUCGCUAAAGCACAAAAUGUUCCUGUAAAAUUGCUUCCAUAUUUUAUUAGACGCAGAUGAGCAUGAAUUAUUGUGAAGUCAACUGGAGAGUGAGCAAAUUGGGUUCUCGCCUCUGCCCCCCCCCAUACACAUCUUCCUCCCCAGAAAGUCUUGAAGGGGUGCUGGUUUGGGAUGGGACCAUGGACUCCCUGACUCACUUCUUCAUUCAUCCAUCCAUCCAUAAAACAUUUAUUGGGCACCCACUGUAUGCCAAGUGAGGCAAGCUAAGCUGCAGCUGGAGAUAUUCUUGUUGACCUACAUUGAAACACCACCACUGCAUGCAUAACCGCCCUCUGAGAUGCGCCAUUUUGUUUGACUCCUUCGCGGGGAGAUGCCUUUCUGGGAAGGAGGCUUCCUUUCAUGUCUCUGAGUGCCUCUGUCUUAUCUGUGCCAUGGAGAAGAGGGGACCUUGUCACAUACCCCUUCACAGUUGAAAAGGCUAAUUCACAUUAAAUUCCUCUUUUUUUUUAUCAUCUCUUCAUUU